GAGUUUGAUCAUGGCUCAGAUUGAACGCUGGCGGCAGGCCUAACACAUGCAAGUCGAGCGGAUGACGGGAGCUUGCUCCUUGAUUCAGCGGCGGACGGGUGAGUAAUGCCUAGGAAUCUGCCUGGUAGUGGGGGACAACGUUUCGAAAGGAACGCUAAUACCGCAUACGUCCUACGGGAGAAAGCAGGGGACCUUCGGGCCUUGCGCUAUCAGAUGAGCCUAGGUCGGAUUAGCUAGUUGGUGGGGUAAUGGCUCACCAAGGCGACGAUCCGUAACUGGUCUGAGAGGAUGAUCAGUCACACUGGAACUGAGACACGGUCCAGACUCCUACGGGAGGCAGCAGUGGGGAAUAUUGGACAAUGGGCGAAAGCCUGAUCCAGCCAUGCCGCGUGUGUGAAGAAGGUCUUCGGAUUGUAAAGCACUUUAAGUUGGGAGGAAGGGCAGUAAGUUAAUACCUUGCUGUUUGACGUUACCGACAGAAUAAGCACCGGCUAACUCUGUGCCAGCCGCCG
RNAcentral lists this ribosomal RNA (512 nucleotides) under bacterium enrichment culture clone ALO1_GLFRUDD03G59VV. RNAcentral's name for it is "bacterial SSU rRNA". It matches the Rfam family "Bacterial small subunit ribosomal RNA", at positions 9 to 517 of the family's 1533-position model. The record is from RNAcentral.